RNAcentral lists this ribosomal RNA (252 nucleotides) under uncultured bacterium. RNAcentral's name for it is "partial 16S ribosomal RNA". It matches the Rfam family "Bacterial small subunit ribosomal RNA", at positions 1249 to 1500 of the family's 1533-position model. The record is from RNAcentral.
ACCACCUGGCGACAGGGAGCGGAACCCGAAAGCCUGUCUCAGUUCGGAUUGGAGCUGCAACCCGACUCCAUGAAGCUGGAUUCGCUAGUAAUCGCGCAUCAGCCACGGCGCGGUGAAUACGUUCCCGGGCCCUUGUACACACCGCCCGUCACACCAUGGAAGUCGGUAAUGCCCGAAGUCAGUAGCCUAACCGCAAGGAGGGCGCUGCCGAAGGCAGGAUUGAUGACUGGGGUGAAGUCGUAACAAGGUAUC